Molecule: ribosomal RNA, 904 nt
Filed under: Parascedosporium putredinis
Lineage: Eukaryota; Fungi; Ascomycota; Sordariomycetes; Microascales; Microascaceae
Description: partial large subunit ribosomal RNA
Rfam family: Eukaryotic large subunit ribosomal RNA
Source: RNAcentral
GAACUAGCAUAUCAAUAAGCGGAGGAAAAGAAACCAACAGGGAUUGCCUCAGUAACGGCGAGUGAAGCGGCAACAGCUCAAAUUUGAAAUCUGGUCGCCUGUGCGGCCCGAGUUGUAAUUUGAAGAGGAUGCUUUUGACAAUGUGCCUUCCGAGUUCCCUGGAAUGGGACGCCAUAGAGGGUGAGAGCCCCGUAUGGUAGGUUACUGCGUCUCUGUAAAGCUCCUUCGACGAGUCGAGUAGUUUGGGAAUGCUGCUCAAAAUGGGAGGUAAACCCCUUCUAAAGCUAAAUAUUGGCCAGAGACCGAUAGCGCACAAGUAGAGUGAUCGAAAGAUGAAAAGCACUUUGAAAAGAGAGUUAAACAGCACGUGAAAUUGUUGAAAGGGAAGCGUUUGCGACCAGACUUGUGCUCGUCGAAUCAGCCGUCGCUCGUCGGCGGUGCAUUUCGGCGGGCUCAGGCCAGCAUCAGUUCGCCGUAGGGGGAGAAAGGCGGAAGGAAUGUGGCUCUUCGGAGUGUUAUAGCCUACCGUAUAAUACCCCUCGGUGGACUGAGGACCGCGCAUCUGCAAGGAUGCUGGCGUAAUGGUUGUCAGCGACCCGUCUUGAAACACGGACCAAGGAGUCGUCCUAAUAUGCGAGUGUUCGGGUGUAAAACCCCUACGCGUAAUGAAAGUGAACGGAGGUGAGAGCUUCGGCGCAUCAUCGACCGAUCCUGAUGUUCUCGGAUGGAUUUGAGUAUGAGCAUAUUGGGCCGGACCCGAAAGAAGGUGAACUAUGCCUGUAUAGGGUAAAGCCAGAGGAAACUCUGGUGGAGGCUCGCAGCGGUUCUGACGUGCAAAUCGAUCGUCAAAUAUGGGCAUGGGGGCGAAAGACUAAUCGAACCUUCUAGUAGCUGGUUCGCGGGU